Molecule: RNA transcript, 1836 nt
Organism: Wasmannia auropunctata (little fire ant)
Lineage: Eukaryota; Metazoa; Arthropoda; Insecta; Hymenoptera; Formicidae
Exons: 5
Source: RefSeq, a predicted model, not a curated record
AGGAGAAAGAGAGAGAGAGAGUGAGAGGAAGAGAUCUCGUAUACCAUUAGUCCAUAGGAUUAUGUAACUACUUGUAGCGCUCGCACCACACGGGAGAGAUCAACUGCAGACAUGCGCGUAUGUAUAAUAUGCAUGCAUAUACGAAUAAAGAGCCGUAAAUGCGGAAAAUCCCCCGGUUGUACAAUAUCGAUAACUCCGCAACUGGAACGAUCAAUGUCACGUCAAUGUUCUAUGGCUUGAGGGUAGAAGGACGAACGUAUCGUAUAUACCGGAAUAUACUGCUUGACGUCAUAUUACGUUGUAUUCACGUUGUCGAGAAUCGCUCGUUUUGUUUCAACAAUAGAAGCGAUCGGAGCAGAGAUGUUGAUUGAGCUAUUAAAAAACAAGAAACAUUAAUAAUUUACGAGUCGCGUAUGAAUAAUUGAAAACGUGAAACUUUGCAUUUUGGGCGUUAUAUUUAAUUUAUAAUCUCGGAGAUUUCACAUUGUUCCGCGAGUCAAUAUGAUGAAACAACUUUUGCUCUGGCCGUUAAAUGUUAUCUCGAUAACAUUUUCGCAGCGGCGCAGAAAUUAUUAGCCGUGAGUGACACAGUUUCGAAGUUAUAAGUAACAAUACGUUGAUAGCAGAUAAAUAUGGCUUGGAAAGUUCUACGGUCUCUUCGCUCUCUUAUUUCUCUUUCUAGCUCCGCUAGCUAGCCGCAGAAGGACAUCGGUUAUUUUAGCUCUCCGCAAUACACGGGGACCGAUGUGUGCAGUAUAACGCAAAUGCAUCCUAUGCAUUACUCGAGGUAUCGCCGCGCCGUUUCACUUUUACGGAUACAAAACGGUCGAGUUGGAUACGUCCCAAUAAAGAUUCCGAAAAAAGCGGAGGAUGUGAAAAACAACUGUUUUCGAGGACUGUCGUGAAACGAGAUAUUCGAGAUGUGUACACAUGUAUACGUACUAAACGAUCGGCCAAGAAUAGAGGAAAUCGCAAAAGAAGCGCAAGAAGCCGGAAUGCUGCUUGGACAAAACGUGAAUUAAAAAUGUUUCAGUUCAUGCAACGCUCGUUCCGUGACAAACGCUCGCGGGUCAGGCUGGUAUGUAAGCUGGACGAUAAAGACGGAUAACGGUGAUUUUUUUACACGAGAUAAUCCCGCACGGAAGGAAAUACUGGGCGGCGGCUUUGUACCUCGCAACGCGCGAAUAAUUAAUUCGCGAAUAUAUAGAGAUCGGCCGCUCGUCUUCACCCAGCGCAUGGAAGCAGAAGACCGGGCGAGACGAUUUCUUUGGAGCGAGUGCGAGAAAGCGCGACGAAAAGUCGAGCGCCCCGUCGAAACUCCUGCGCAACCACUGUGUUGUCGGUGUUGCUGCGUGCUGCGCAUAAAUACGUGUAUAACGUGUACAAGACUUUUGUAUUCGCAAAAAAAUCCGGAUGCAUACUCGCAUGCACGCACGUGGUGUUAAUUAGAAACUGCGAGGGACACGCGGGAUUGCACGCGGGCUUGAAGAAUAAAUAUUCCGCACAACAUGAGAAAUGCCAAAUGUUCACCAUGCGUCUGGCGGCAAUUUAACGGAAAUAAACGCGAAGUGCAUACAUCCGCAUCGCGAGCGAAAGAGUGCAUCUGCUUCGCGCACAUUUCAUCCGGCGAGUAAUAAAUGAAAGUAGGUAUCGCGACACGAGAAUAAAGAGUUGAAUGACGUAUCGAUGAUAGUCUUAUGUAUAAAUUGCAAAUAUAAUUAAAUAUAUAUAUAUAUAGUUUGAUUGUUUUAAAAUGCGAGAGACGUUCGAAGCAAUUAGGUAUCGUGAUUUUAAUGUAAUUACGAUUAAUAAAUAUGUAACGUACGUAAUAUUAAA